This 90-nucleotide transfer RNA is filed under the name Candidatus Woesebacteria bacterium. RNAcentral describes it as "tRNA-Ser". It matches the Rfam family "tRNA". Rfam says of the family: Transfer RNA (tRNA) molecules are approximately 80 nucleotides in length. Their secondary structure includes four short double-helical elements and three loops (D, anti-codon, and T loops). Lineage: Bacteria; Candidatus Woeseibacteriota. The record is from RNAcentral.
GGUGAGGUGCCGGAGUGGUCUAACGGGCUCGCUUGGAAAGCGUGUGUAGUCGCAAGGCUACCGUGGGUUCGAAUCCCACCCUCACCGCCA